GAUGAACGCUGGCGGCGUGCUUAACACAUGCAAGUCGAGCGAAGCACUUUACUUGGAUUUCUUCGGAAUGACGAGUUUUGUGACUGAGCGGCGGACGGGUGAGUAACGCGUGGGUAACCUGCCUCAUACAGGGGGAUAACAGUUAGAAAUGACUGCUAAUACCGCAUAAGACCACAGCACCGCAUGGUGCAGGGGUAAAAACUCCGGUGGUAUGAGAUGGACCCGCGUCUGAUUAGCUAGUUGGUGGGGUAACGGCCUACCAAGGCAACGAUCAGUAGCCGGCCUGAGAGGGCGAACGGCCAAAUUGGAACUGAGACACGGCCCAAACUCCUACGGGAGGCAGCAGUGGGGAAUAUUGCACAAUGGGGGAAACCCUGAUGCAGCGACGCCGCGUGAAGGAAGAAGUAUUUCGGUAUGUAAACUUCUAUCAGCAGGGAAGAAAAUAACGGUACCUGACUAAGAAGCCCCGGCUAACUACGUGCCAGCCGCCGCCGUAA
Molecule: ribosomal RNA, 497 nt
Filed under: uncultured bacterium
Lineage: Bacteria
Description: partial 16S ribosomal RNA
Rfam family: Bacterial small subunit ribosomal RNA
Source: RNAcentral